UGGGGAAUAUUGCACAAUGGGGGAAACCCUGAUGCAGCGACGCCGCGUGAGCGAAGAAGGCCUUCGGGUCGUAAAGCUCUUUUAUGCGGGAAGAUAAUGACGGUACCAUAGGAGGAAGCCCCGGCUAACUACGUGCCAGCAGCCGCGGUAAUACGUAGGGGGCGAGCGUUGUCCGGAAUUACUGGGCGUAAAGGGUUCGCAGGCGGCAUGGCAAGUCCGAUGUAAAAGGCGAAGGCUCAACCUUCGUAAGCAUCGGAAACUGUCAAGCUUGAGUGAAGGAGAGGAAAGUGGAAUUCCUAGUGGAGCGGUGGAAUGCGUAGAUAUUAGGAGGAAUACCGGUGGCGAAGGCGACGUGCUGGACUUCAACUGACGCUGAGGAACGAAAGCGUGGGUAGCAAACAGG
RNAcentral lists this ribosomal RNA (403 nucleotides) under Verrucomicrobiota bacterium. Its description in RNAcentral is "Verrucomicrobia bacterium partial 16S ribosomal RNA". It matches the Rfam family "Bacterial small subunit ribosomal RNA", at positions 355 to 776 of the family's 1533-position model. Lineage: Bacteria; Pseudomonadati; Verrucomicrobiota. The record is from RNAcentral.